Talpa occidentalis (Iberian mole) is the source of this 109-nucleotide small nuclear RNA. Lineage: Eukaryota; Metazoa; Chordata; Mammalia; Eulipotyphla; Talpidae. The record is from RefSeq and is a predicted model, not a curated record.
GUGCUUACUUCAGCAACACAUAUACUAAAAUUGGAGACAUAGAGAGAGAAGAUUAGUGUGGCCCCAGUUCAAGAAGGACACACAAAUGCAUGAAGCAUUCCAUAGUAAA